Molecule: non-coding RNA, 110 nt
Organism: Glycine soja
Lineage: Eukaryota; Viridiplantae; Streptophyta; Magnoliopsida; Fabales; Fabaceae
Source: Rfam
CUUUUAUUGGAUGUUGACCGUCACAUGUCCCGUGUUUAUUGGACGUUAAUUUUGUGCACCUAAUUAAUGUUAACUUCCAAUAAAAUCCCGACAUGUGGCAGUCAACGUCC